GCAGGCCACGUCAGAAUCCGGCCGGAAUCUGGCCGGAUUUCCGGCCGGAAUCUCGGCCGGAUACUAGGCCGAGAGCAAACCAAAAUUUUUCCAAAACCCUUCUCAAUCCGGCCGGCAAUCCGGCCAGUUUCUGGCCGGAUUCCUGGCCGGAUUCAGUCCAGUGUCUUUUCGUUCAAAAUUUUCCUUUUGCCGUUUGAAAGCCAAAUCGAUUCAAAGUUCAUCCAAACAUCAAUUUAACAUAUAUACAUGGAAAUCCAACAUUGUCAAGCCAAAACGGCAUACCAAAAUAGCUAUUUAGUUCAUACAUAAACAAGUAGCCAUUUACACACCAAACAUUGGUGAAUCAAAACACUUAGGGUUUUCACCCUGAGCUCAACUUGUCAUAACCUUUUCCAAUUCCUGUAAGGAAAACAAAUAACACGGAAUGAGCUAAAGCCCAGUGAGCAACUAUCACAAUAGCAGUUAAGAUCACAUAAGCAAAACCAUUCAAUUCAAGUAUGCAAUUUCGAAGUAAAGCAAAUCAGUGAAAGGAUACGGUCGGCUCUCAAGAGCCCAUUGCCACGCUUAUAUUCUUGAUCCAAUCUCAUUGACUCUCCGUCAACGUUUAUGAGUAGCAACCGUAGAACCCACUUCACUCUCAUUCCUUCCACCAAACAUACCCCAACCGGGCCCGCACUCCAAUCAGUAGCUUUUGGUAAUACUCGAGUAUACCGGAACCAAAGGUCUCAUUACCACAAGAUUCCACAGUACAGUCCCCGUGGCAUGACAAUUUUCACGACCAAGCCCUCGCCGGCUCGAUCCAAUUGACUACCAAACGGGGUUGAGCUCAGUGAUACAGUAAAGCCAUUGGACAUUCGCCCGAAUGACACCAAAUCAGUUUUCCAAGGAUGCAAUUCAAUAUCUCAUAUAGCCAGUGCAGUAUUUCAGUAUAUCAGUAAACAGUCAUGAAUGAAAUCACAAGGGGGUGAGGGCGGUCAAGUACACCCUCACCUCUAUCAAUUCCAAUAGCCAAGUAAGCCUUCAAGGCAUCCAAUUCACAUAUAACCAAGCCACAUUUUAACAAUUAAGUGAGUAGUAUACUCACCAAUCACGUAGGUGAUAUUUCAUGCACCAACGUCAAAAAAGUCGCCGUGAACCCUCGUCACGUCCUAAAACACGUAAACAAUUGCAAUGAGACUCGAUAACGAGUCUAAAGCCAAGCCAUUCACAACCCCAAUGGGUUUCAUAUACAUAAACAAGCAUCAUAAGCAAACCAGAAAUUAAAAGUAGCAUUAGUCUUGGCCCCGAAUAGAAAAACUGUUUUGCCCUUAUUAUGCGGUAAUGGCGUCAAAUUCACUACGAUUAUCGGAUGGGGGUGUAAGACCCACCAUUUCGAAGCUAUGAAACAGGGUUACAACAAUGUAGAAGGCCACUCAAUCCAGUUCCUAACACAACUAGGUCAAAUAUGCCAAAUACUAUACCAGAAUUCCCAAAACAGGUUUGCAAAACACACAAAACUGUAAUUACUAUAACUCAGUCUAUACAGGUCCAAAUGCCGAAAUUCCAAAGGCAUAAGUUAGCUAAGAUAUCCAGCUAUAUUUCAUCAGAAGACACCAACUUCAAAAUCCAAACCAAUUCCAGUCAAAACAGACAAUUACUAUCGCAGUUCGGACAUUCUGCUCACCAAAAACAGCAACAGUAAAAACGGCAUAACUCUCUCUAUACUACUCCAAAUGCCCUGAAAUUUUGUAGGCACAUCAAACUCAUCAAUACCUACAACUUUCAUGUUUUGAGUAAAGUCCAAUUCGACCUCUAGCUAUGACCUAAAAUUUCGGACAGAAUAGGGGUUCAUGAACCCUAACUUUUCACAUUUCAUUCCAAAUCCAAAAUUGAUUGCAUUUCUCAUCAAUUCACACCUACUAGAGUCAAAGCCCCUUAUUACCAACCAUCAAAAACAACCACACCAUCAAGAUCAUAUGAAACCAGAAAAUUCAUCAUAAAAUGGAAAAGUUCACCAAAUCAAGCCAAACCAAGAAAUAAAUCAUAUAAUUCAUCACCUUAGCCACUUCUAAGCCAAACAUAAGCAUCAUUAGAUGUAGUAGGGUGUUCAAGCAUCACUUACCAAGAAAUCAAGAGAGGAGAAGAUGUUGGGCACCUUAGCUCUCCAAACAAACCUCACUAAAGCACUCACUAACACUAAAAGGAAAGAUUGUAUGGAAUAAAAACUAAGUUAAACACUUGAUUUGGUGGAUUUGGACAAGUUGGAAGCUUGAAAUGUUGAAGAAUUUUCUUCCUUCUUGCAAGUGAGAGGUUCGG
Molecule: long non-coding RNA, 2295 nt
Filed under: Coffea arabica (coffee)
Lineage: Eukaryota; Viridiplantae; Streptophyta; Magnoliopsida; Gentianales; Rubiaceae
Description: long non-coding RNA (CARA_LNC005576)
Source: RNAcentral